ACACACUUUUGAAAUUUCCUAAGUUUCCCUGUGUCAAUCUGCUCAAUUUUUCCAGCAUUUUCUUGCCACUUUCUCGGAAAAUAUAGUUUGCAUGAGUCCUCUAAGACUUCUCACCUUCCCAAUAUUUAUCAGUUUGUUCAUCAUGGCAAUCUCUCAUCUGGGUCAAGCUCAGAACUUGGAUCUUUCCCCAGCACCUGCUCCUACCAGUGAUGGCACUGCAAUUGAUCAAGGAAUUGCUUACUUGCUUAUGCUGGUGGCGUUGGGAAUCACAUACAUGCUCCAUUGAUUUUAUUUUUUUGUAUUUUCUCUUAAUAUUUUUUUUGAGGGAAUUCCAGGAUUUUUUGUUGUAAUUACUAGUGAUGAAAUACAAAUAUACAAUAUUAUUCUUUGAUA
Molecule: long non-coding RNA, 393 nt
Organism: Lotus japonicus
Lineage: Eukaryota; Viridiplantae; Streptophyta; Magnoliopsida; Fabales; Fabaceae
Exons: 2
Source: RefSeq, a predicted model, not a curated record